UCUACGGGAGGCAGCAGCGGGGAAUAUUGCACAAUGGGCGAAAGCCUGAUGCAGCAACGCCGCGUGAGCGAUGAAGGCCUUCGGGUCGUAAAGCUCUGUCCUCAAGGAAGAUAAUGACGGUACUUGAGGAGGAAGCCCCGGCUAACUACGUGCCAGCAGCCGCGGUAAUA
RNAcentral lists this ribosomal RNA (170 nucleotides) under uncultured bacterium. RNAcentral describes it as "partial 16S ribosomal RNA". It matches the Rfam family "Bacterial small subunit ribosomal RNA", at positions 338 to 525 of the family's 1533-position model. The record is from RNAcentral.